GUGGGUGACCUACCCUGAAGACGGGGACAAUCCUUGGAGACGGGGGCUAUUAGCCUACUGUGCUCGUGUCAUGCGGUUGGUCGAGUCAAGGCUGAGGCGCGUCAGGAUGGGCCUGUGGCCCAUCCGCUAGUUGGUAGGGUACCGGCCUACCAAGGCUGAGACGGGUAUGGGGCGUGAGAACGUCAGUCCCCCACACUAGCAGAGGGAGACGGGCCAGACUCCUACGGGAGGCAGGAGAAAAGAAUCUUGACUCAAUGGGCGAAAGCCAGACGCAGCGACGCCGCGUGGGCUAACGAAGGCCUUCGGGUUAGUACCGCCCUUUUCCAAGGGAAGACGGAAGGACGGUACCCUGGGAAUAAGUCCCGGCUAACUAUGUGCCAGCACGCCGGGGUAAUGACCUAGGGGACGCGCGUUAUUCCGGAUUUACUGAGCGUACAGCGCGUUGCGGCGGUUCCGUCAGUUGUGCUGUGCCGGCCGCGGGCUUCGCUCGUGGAGGUCGUUCAAUACUGCGGUGCUAGCGGGCUCCCGAGGGCGGUGGAAUUCCCGGUGUACUGGUGAAAUGCGUAGAUUUCGGGCGGCACACCCGUGUUGUAGUCGGCUUCAUGGGCUGACCCUGACGCUGUAUGCGUUAGCUAGGGGAUCUAACGGGAUUAGAUACCCCGGUAGUCCGUACCUGUAAACGAUGGAUGAUGGGUAUGGGGGUUAUAAAUUCCCUCUGUGCCGUAGUUAACGCGUUAAGCAUCCCGCCUGGGGAUUACGGCCGCAAGGCUCUUACUCAAACGAAUUGACGGGGGCACCGCACAAGCAGCGGAGCGUGUGGUUUAAUUCGAUGCUACACGAAGAACCUUACCUGGGCUUGACAUGCACGUGGUAGGGAACCGAAAGGGGACCGACCUUCGGGAGCGUGCACAGGUGAUGCAUGGCUGUCGUCAGCUCGUGCACGUGAGGUGUCGGAUUCAAGUCUCGUAACGAGCGCAACACCUUGCCCUUAGCUUAUACGUGUCUAAGGGGACUGCCCGGGAUAACCGGGAGGAAGAUGUGGGAUGACGUCAAGUCAGCAUGGCCUUUAUGUCCAGGGCUACACACACGCUACAAUGGUCGGUACAAUGGGUCGCGAAACCGUGAGGCGGAGCCAAUCCUGAAAGCCGGUCUCAGUUCGGAUUGUAGGCAGCAACUCGCCUACAUGAAGUUGGAGUUGCUAGUGACCGCAGGUCAGCUAUACUCAGGUGAAUACGUUCCCGGGCGUUGUACACACCGCCCAUCACGUCAUGGGA
RNAcentral lists this ribosomal RNA (1274 nucleotides) under uncultured organism. Its description in RNAcentral is "partial 16S ribosomal RNA". It matches the Rfam family "Bacterial small subunit ribosomal RNA", at positions 117 to 1409 of the family's 1533-position model. The record is from RNAcentral.